GCCGGGCAUGGUGGCUCAUGCCUGUAAUCCCAACACUUUGGGAGGCUGAGGUGGGCGGAUCACCUGAGGUCGGGAGUUCAAGACCAGCCUGACCAACAUGGAGAAACCCCAUCUCUA
Molecule: non-coding RNA, 117 nt
Filed under: Pan troglodytes (chimpanzee)
Lineage: Eukaryota; Metazoa; Chordata; Mammalia; Primates; Hominidae
Source: Rfam by way of RNAcentral